Molecule: ribosomal RNA, 745 nt
Filed under: uncultured bacterium
Lineage: Bacteria
Description: bacterial SSU rRNA
Rfam family: Bacterial small subunit ribosomal RNA
Source: RNAcentral
ACGCUGGCGGCAGGCCUAACACAUGCAAGUCGAGCGGUAGAGAGAAGCUUGCUUCUCUUGAGAGCGGCGGACGGGUGAGUAAUGCCUAGGAAUCUGCCUGGUAGUGGGGGAUAACGUUCGGAAACGGACGCUAAUACCGCAUACGUCCUACGGGAGAAAGCAGGGGACCUUCGGGCCUUGCGCUAUCAGAUGAGCCUAGGUCGGAUUAGCUAGUUGGUGGGGUAAUGGCUCACCAAGGCGACGAUCCGUAACUGGCCUGAGAGGAUGAUCAGUCACACUGGAACUGAGACACGGUCCAGACUCCUACGGGAGGCAGCAGUGGGGAAUAUUGGACAAUGGGCGAAAGCCUGAUCCAGCCAUGCCGCGUGUGUGAAGAAGGUCUUCGGAUUGUAAAGCACUUUAAGUUGGGAGGAAGGGCAGUUGCCUAAUACGUAACUGUUUUGACGUUACCGACAGAAUAAGCACCGGCUAACUCUGUGCCAGCAGCCGCGGUAAUACAGAGGGUGCAAGCGUUAAUCGGAAUUACUGGGCGUAAAGCGCGCGUAGGUGGUUUGUUAAGUUGGAUGUGAAAUCCCCGGGCUCAACCUGGGAACUGCAUUCAAAACUGACUGACUAGAGUGUGGUAGAGGGUGGUGGAAUUUCCUGUGUAGCGGUGAAAUGCGUAGAUAUAGGAAGGAACACCAGUGGCGAAGGCGACCACCUGGACUGAUACUGACACUGAGGUGCGAAAGCGUGGGGAGCAAAC